RNAcentral lists this ribosomal RNA (253 nucleotides) under uncultured bacterium. Its description in RNAcentral is "partial 16S ribosomal RNA". It matches the Rfam family "Bacterial small subunit ribosomal RNA", at positions 524 to 776 of the family's 1533-position model. The record is from RNAcentral.
UACGUAGGGUGCAAGCGUUAAUCGGAAUUACUGGGCGUAAAGCGUGCGCAGGCGGUUGUGCAAGACAGAUGUGAAAUCCCCGGGCUUAACCUGGGAAUUGCAUUUGUGACUGCACGGCUAGAGUGUGUCAGAGGGGGGUAGAAUUCCACGUGUAGCAGUGAAAUGCGUAGAUAUGUGGAGGAACACCGGUGGCGAAGGCGGGUCUCUGGGCAAUUCCUGACGCUGAGGCGCGAAAGCGUGGGGAGCAAACGGG